RNAcentral lists this ribosomal RNA (400 nucleotides) under uncultured Sphingobium sp. RNAcentral describes it as "bacterial SSU rRNA". It matches the Rfam family "Bacterial small subunit ribosomal RNA", at positions 354 to 771 of the family's 1533-position model. Lineage: Bacteria; Pseudomonadati; Pseudomonadota; Alphaproteobacteria; Sphingomonadales; Sphingobiaceae. The record is from RNAcentral.
GUAGGGAAUAUUGGACAAUGGGCGAAAGCCUGAUCCAGCAAUGCCGCGUGAGUGAUGAAGGCCUUAGGGUUGUAAAGCUCUUUUACCCGGGAUGAUAAUGACAGUACCGGGAGAAUAAGCUCCGGCUAACUCCGUGCCAGCAGCCGCGGUAAUACGGAGGGAGCUAGCGUUGUUCGGAAUUACUGGGCGUAAAGCGCACGUAGGCGGCUAUUCAAGUCAGAGGUGAAAGCCCGGGGCUCAACCCCGGAACUGCCUUUGAAACUAGAUAGCUUGAAUCCAGGAGAGGUGAGUGGAAUUCCGAGUGUAGAGGUGAAAUUCGUAGAUAUUCGGAAGAACACCAGUGGCGAAGGCGGCUCACUGGACUGGUAUUGACGCUGAGGUGCGAAAGCGUGGGGAGCAA